RNAcentral lists this ribosomal RNA (268 nucleotides) under Cortinarius torvus. RNAcentral describes it as "partial large subunit ribosomal RNA". Lineage: Eukaryota; Fungi; Basidiomycota; Agaricomycetes; Agaricales; Cortinariaceae. The record is from RNAcentral.
ACGCUUGAAGUCAGUCACGUUGUCCAGGGAUCAACCUUGCUUUUGCUUGGUGCACUUUCUGGUUCAAUGGGUCAGCAUCAAUUUUGAUCAUUGGAAAAAGAUUGAGGGAAUGUGGCAUCUUUGGAUGUGUUAUAGCCCUUUGUCGCAUACAAUGGUUGGGAUUGAGGAACUCAGCACGCCGCAAGGCCGGGUUUUUAACCACGUACGUGCUUAGGAUGCUGGCAAUAUGGCUUUAAUCGACCCGUCUUGAAACACGGACCAAGGAGUC